RNAcentral lists this ribosomal RNA (253 nucleotides) under uncultured bacterium. Its description in RNAcentral is "partial 16S ribosomal RNA". It matches the Rfam family "Bacterial small subunit ribosomal RNA", at positions 524 to 776 of the family's 1533-position model. The record is from RNAcentral.
UACAGAGGGUGCGAGCGUUGUCCGGAAUCACUGGGCGUAAAGGGCGCGUAGGUGGUGAUCUAAGCGUGCGGUGAAAGCCCGAGGCUCAACCUCGGGUCGGCCGUGCGAACUGGGUCACUGGAGCAGAAUAGAGGCAGGUGGAAUUCCGGGUGUAGCGGUGGAAUGCGUAGAGAUCCGGAAGAACACCGGUGGCGAAGGCGGCCUGCUGGGUUCUGGCUGACACUGAGGCGCGACAGCGUGGGGAGCAAACAGG